Molecule: ribosomal RNA, 253 nt
Filed under: uncultured bacterium
Lineage: Bacteria
Description: partial 16S ribosomal RNA
Rfam family: Bacterial small subunit ribosomal RNA
Source: RNAcentral
GACGAACCGUGCGAACGUUGUUCGGAAUCACUGGGCUUAAAGGGCGCGUAGGCGGCUCUGCCAGUCUCGGGUGAAAUCUUUCGGCUCAACCGGAAACGUGCCUGGGAUACUGCAGAGCUGGAGGGAGGUAGGGGCGGACGGAACUUCCGGUGGAGCGGUGAAAUGCGUUGAUAUCGGAAGGAACGCCGGUGGCGAAAGCGGCUCACUGGACCACAACUGACGCUGAGGCGCGAAAGCUAGGGGAGCAAACAGG